RNAcentral lists this non-coding RNA (186 nucleotides) under Clostridium sp. RNAcentral describes it as "T-box sequence". It matches the Rfam family "T-box leader". From Rfam's summary of the family: Uncharged tRNA acts as the effector for transcription antitermination of genes in the T-box leader family. T-boxes are found upstream of many aminoacyl-tRNA synthetase genes and some amino acid biosynthetic genes usually in Gram-positive bacteria. Lineage: Bacteria; Bacillati; Bacillota; Clostridia; Eubacteriales; Clostridiaceae. The record is from RNAcentral.
UAAGUUUUAUUGAAAAAGAGUAGUAAUUAAUUUAUUCUUUUCUAGAGAGUUAGUAUUAGGUGGAAACUAACAAAGAAUAACUAAUGAACUUGCUUUGGAAAAACAUCGCUAGUAAGCGUUAUAACUAAAAGUUGCAUAAUUAACUUUAUGAAUUAAGGUGGUACCGCUCCAAAAGGAGUCCUUAAA